RNAcentral lists this ribosomal RNA (307 nucleotides) under uncultured bacterium. RNAcentral's name for it is "partial 16S ribosomal RNA". It matches the Rfam family "Bacterial small subunit ribosomal RNA", at positions 506 to 807 of the family's 1533-position model. The record is from RNAcentral.
AGACAGCAGUCGCCGCGGGAAUACGAAGGGUGCAAGCGUUAAUCGGAUUUACUGGGCGUAAAGGGCGCGUAGGUGGUUAUUUAAGUGAGAUGUGAAAGCCCCGGGCUUAACCUGGGAACUGCAUCUUAUACUGGGUAACUGGAGUGCAGUAGAGGGUAGUGGAAUUUCCGGUGUAGCGGUGAAAUGCGUAGAUAUCGGAAGGAACACCAGUGGCGAAGGCGGCUACCUGGACUGAGACUGACACUGAGGCGCGAGAGCGUGGGGAGCAAACAGGAUUAGAUACCCGUGUAGUCCCUGUCUCUUAUAC